Molecule: ribosomal RNA, 416 nt
Filed under: uncultured microorganism
Description: bacterial SSU rRNA
Rfam family: Bacterial small subunit ribosomal RNA
Source: RNAcentral
GAGUUUGAUCCUGGCUCAGAUUGAACGCUGGCGGCAUGCCUUACACAUGCAAGUCGAACGGCAGCAUGAUCUAGCUUGCUAGAUUGAUGGCGAGUGGCGAACGGGUGAGUAAUACAUCGGAACGUGCCCUGUAGUGGGGGAUAACUAGUCGAAAGAUUAGCUAAUACCGCAUACGACCUGAGGGUGAAAGUGGGGGACCGCAAGGCCUCAUGCUAUAGGAGCGGCCGAUGUCUGAUUAGCUAGUUGGUGGGGUAAAGGCCCACCAAGGCGACGAUCAGUAGCUGGUCUGAGAGGACGAUCAGCCACACUGGGACUGAGACACGGCCCAGACUCCUACGGGAGGCAGCAGUGGGGAAUUUUGGACAAUGGGCGAAAGCCUGAUCCAGCAAUGCCGCGUGUGUGAAGAAGGCCUUCGG